This is a non-coding RNA of Podarcis lilfordi (Lilford's wall lizard), 69 nucleotides long. NCBI's taxonomy places the organism in Eukaryota, Metazoa, Chordata, Lepidosauria, Squamata, Lacertidae. The record is from the annotation of a GenBank genome assembly.
GAUAGCUCAGUUAGUUAGAGCGUGGUGCUGACAACGCCCAAGUUGCAGGUUCAAUCCCCGUAAGGGACA